Mauremys mutica (yellowpond turtle) is the source of this 469-nucleotide long non-coding RNA. RefSeq lists it as uncharacterized. The record is from RefSeq and is a predicted model, not a curated record. Lineage: Eukaryota; Metazoa; Chordata; Testudines; Geoemydidae. The transcript is spliced from 3 exons.
AGGAGAACUCCGCUCACUCUGAAGAUCAGAUCAAAUCUCUCAAACUAUUUUAGAUCCUUAUGUGGCUCCCACUUUCACAGUAUGUGAACACUUCAGAAUCUUUACUGUCUGUACCCUCCCGGUAUGCCUGUGAGGCAGUCACAGACCUCAUGAAACCAGGUAGGCAUGCUAGCUACCCUCCAUUCAGACUAAGUGGAAGCAGCAAACGUCUUUUAUGGAGCAGGCUACAUGGAGACAGUGGAAGCCACCACGCACAGCACUAGACUUGAGGCAAGGCCUGGGCAAAGGCUGGGCCAUAUGGAGCAUGUGGUUUCCCUGGGGACUGACUGCAAGCACAAGGGCUGGAACACUGAUUGGCUUGCAGGUGUCUGAGAGUCUCUGCCUGUAUACCAGAGCUGAAAGCCAGCAGACGGUAAGAGAAGCAAUUGUGACUAUGCCCGUGAGAGGGAGCAGAUACAGUGUCUUUUGG